Molecule: microRNA precursor, 93 nt
Filed under: Strigamia maritima
Lineage: Eukaryota; Metazoa; Arthropoda; Chilopoda; Geophilomorpha; Linotaeniidae
Description: microRNA mir-241
Source: RNAcentral
AAUGGCUGACAACAAUGAAACAGCCAGGAGAGCAGUGGCGAUGAUUCUGACAACGUCACUGCUCUCUUGGCUGUUUCAUUGUUGUCAGCCAUU